RNAcentral lists this transfer RNA (73 nucleotides) under Camelus bactrianus (Bactrian camel). It matches the Rfam family "tRNA". Rfam says of the family: Transfer RNA (tRNA) molecules are approximately 80 nucleotides in length. Their secondary structure includes four short double-helical elements and three loops (D, anti-codon, and T loops). Further hydrogen bonds mediate the characteristic L-shaped molecular structure. tRNAs have two regions of fundamental functional importance: the anti-codon, which is responsible for specific mRNA codon recognition, and the 3' end, to which the tRNAs corresponding amino acid is attached (by aminoacyl-tRNA synthetases). tRNAs cope with the degeneracy of the genetic code in two manners: having more than one tRNA (with a specific anti-codon) for a particular amino acid; and 'wobble' base-pairing, i.e. permitting non-standard base-pairing at the 3rd anti-codon position. Lineage: Eukaryota; Metazoa; Chordata; Mammalia; Artiodactyla; Camelidae. RNAcentral also lists the same sequence under 2 other names. The record is from Rfam by way of RNAcentral.
GAGGGUAUAGCUCAAGUGGUAGAGCCCAUGCUUAGCAUGCACGAGGUCCUGGGUUCAAUCCCCAGUAUCUCCU